CGGUGUGUGUGUGUGCACGUGCGCGCGCAUUGUGUGUGGGUGGGUGUGGGUGUGUGCGUGUGCACCUGCAUGUGUGUGGGUGUGUGCGCAUGUGUGCAUGUGUGCACAGGAGUGUGUGUGCACAUGUGCGCACACGUGUGGGUGUGCACGUGUGUGCGUGUGUACACGUGCGUGUGUGUGCAUGUGUGGGUGUGCGUGCAUGUGCGUGUGUGCAUAUGUGUGUGUACAUGCGUGUGUGUGCAUGUGUGCACGUGUGUGUGUGUGUGGUUUUUGAACGCUCCUGUGUGUCCUGAAUUUGGGGGUGAAAUCUGUUUGCUCUCAGGGCUAGCCCCACUGCUGGAGUGAGCACCGUUCUUGGCUGUGAGCCUCCAGGCAGCUGUGUGGCAGGAAGACCCCCGAGACCACCUUGACGGUCCACAACUUGCUAGAAGGACAGACAGAGCCCAGACAGGCUGCUUUUCCCUGCUGUGGGUUCUCACAGCAGAGGACAUGGGUUAAAGUCAGCAGAGGGAAGAGAUGCCCAGGCAGGGCCCAGGAGAGGCCAGGUGCGAGCUCCCAGGUGUCCCCUCCUGGGGGGGGUCCCAUGGACUUGAUUCUCCGGCACCCAUGCGUGACAACACAUGCCAAGCGAGGCCAGCCAGGAGCCCCCGAGCCUCGGUGUCCACGGUCCUCACUGGGCUGGUCUCGUGGACAUGGCUGACCUUGGUCUCCACCCUCCAGAGGUCAGGCUGAUGCCGUGAGACCAAGUGCCCACCGUGAAUCCCACCAUUGCACAGACCAGCUGGGGCUGCCAAGGCCAGGUGAGCAGGGCUGUCCUCUCCGGCAGGAGGUUCCGGGGCAAGGAGGGGCCGGAUGUGGACGCUCAGGGUGUGGAGGAGCCAGCUGCCAAGUUAACCCUUUCCUGCUCACAGCAACAGUGGAAACAUCAGAGCCAUCUGACAGAGGAAGGUCUCCAAGUACCCCGCCCCGUCCCCAUCAUUCCUCCCGUCACCUGGGAGGCUUCCAGCCGUGAGGAAGGGGCGACCCGGGCCCUGCUCUCCCGGCCUGCCUGUUUUAUCUCCUAGCUCUUGCUGUAAGGGAGGAAGGCUGCGUCCGGCACUGGUUUUCGAAUCCCUGCAGGCCCUCGGUCCCCUGUGGAAUCCUCUGGAGGAUCCCAGCACCGCCGUGCGUGACCUUGGUCUUGUUGGCAGGCGGGGGCCCUGUGCGUUGUGGGGUCCAGUCGUGGGGACCGGGUCGUCUCUGAGUCAGGACUGAACCCGAGCUGGGGGUGAAGCCUUGUGUGACCCUCUGCGUCCCCCCGAGACGUGGGCCUGCGUGUCACAGACGGUCGUCAUUUGCCUCCUGAGGUCCUGUCCCGGCUCCAGAUGGAAGUCCACACCCCCCGCUCUGAUCCAUUUCAGCCCAGCUGCAGAUCCCGCUGCCCAGGUCUAAACCAGUCAGAGCGUGAAGGUCACCCCAGACCUAGGGGUUGGCUCAGGGCUGGUCAGGUGGUUUAAGCCAGUCCAGUCAGAGUGAAUUCUGGAAUUACCAGCGGGCCAUCGAGAAAAAAACAGGCAGCCUUUUCCCACAAGAUGAAACCAAGGCUGGGAGCUGGGGGAGCUGCAGCAACCUUAUCAUCAAGAGGCGAGAGCUUGGAGCUUCCAGGGUCCCUCACGAAGCCCAAGAAGGGGCCAGUGUCUGAACACCUAGAUCCAGCUGUUCCCAAAACAGACCCACUUGACUUUGCAAUAAAUUAGCACAUGCGUGCACACGCACACGCACACGCACACACACGCAUGCACACACACAUGCAACGCACACACGCGCACACACGCGCACGCACGUAUUUUUAGUUUUUUCUUUAAGCACAUCUGAAUUGGGUUUUCUGUUCUUAGAGCUGCAGGGGUCCCAUUGGAUUCCCCCUCUGUGGGAUGUGGGACCCCAGGCCUGGCCUUGCUGUAGUGGAGCUGAUUCCCCCUCUGUGGGAUGUGGGACCCCAGGCCUGGCCUUGCUGCAGUGGAGCUGGUUCCUCUGUGGGAUGUGGGACCCCCAGGCCUGGCCUUGCUGUAGUGGAGCUGAUUCCUCCUCUGUGGGAUGUGGGACCCCAGGCCUGGGCUUGCUGUAGUGGAGCUGAUUCCUCCUCUGUGGGAUCGGGGAUCCCAGGCCUGGCCUUGCUGUAGUGGAGCUGAUUCCCCCUCUGUGGGAUGUGGGACCCCCAGGCCUGGCCUUGCUGCAGUGGAGCUGGUUCCUCUGUGGGAUGUGGGACCCCCAGGCCUGGGCUUGCUGUAGUGGAGCUGAUUCCUCCUCUGUGGGAUGUGGGACCCCAGGCCUGGCCUUGCUGUAGUGGAGCUGAUUCCCCCUCUGUGGGAUGUGGGACCCCAGGCCUGGCCUUGCUGUAGUGGAGCUGGUUCCUCUGUGGGAUGUGGGACCCCCAGGCCUGGGCUUGCUGUAGUGGAGCUGAUUCCCCCUCUGUGGGAUCGGGGACCCCCAGGCCUGGGCUUGCUGUAGUGGAGCUGAUUCCUCCUCUGUGGGAUCGGGGACCCCCAGGCCUGGCCUUGCUGUAGUGGAGCUGAUUCCUCCUCUGUGGGAUCGGGGACCCCCAGGCCUGGCCUUGCUGUAGUGGAGCUGAUUCCUCCUCUGUGGGAUCGGGGACCCCCAGGCCUGGCCUUGCUGUAGUGGAGCUGAUUCCUCUUCUGUGGGAUCGGGGACCCCCAGGCCUGGCCUUGCUGUAGUGGAGCUGAUUCCUCUUCUGUGGGAUCGGGGACCCCCAGGCCUGGCCUUGCUGUAGUGGAGCUGAUUCCUCUUCUGUGGGAUCGGGGACCCCCAGGCCUGGGCUUGCUGCACAGUGGGGGCUCUUGCUCUCCUUUUGAGGGUUCAGCAUCCUGCUGCCUCCCCCCAGGUGUAGGUGGCCCCUGCUGUAGGAAACCUGUCUGCCA
RNAcentral lists this long non-coding RNA (2915 nucleotides) under Pan troglodytes (chimpanzee). RNAcentral describes it as "long non-coding RNA NONPTRT004184". The record is from RNAcentral. Lineage: Eukaryota; Metazoa; Chordata; Mammalia; Primates; Hominidae.